UUAAGCGACUAAGCGUACACGGUGGAUGCCCUGGCAGUCAGAGGCGAUGAAGGACGUGCUAAUCUGCGAAAAGCGUCGGUAAGGUGAUAUGAACCGUUACAGCCGGCGAUGUCCGAAUGGGGAAACCCAGUGCAAUUCGUUGCACUAUCGUUAACUGAAUACAUAGGUUAACGAGGCGAACCGGGGGAACUGAAACAUCUAAGUACCCCGAGGAAAAGAAAUCAACCGAGAUUCCCCCAGUAGCGGCGAGCGAACGGGGAGCAGCCCAGAGUCUGAAUCAGCUUGUGUGUUAGUGGAACGGUCUGGAAAGUCCGACGGUACAGGGUGAUAGUCCCGUACACCAAAAUGCACAGGCUGUGAACUCGAAGAGUAGGGCGGGACACGUGGUAUCCUGUCUGAAUAUGGGGGGACCAUCCUCCAAGGCUAAAUACUCCUGACUGACCGAUAGUGAACCAGUACCGUGAGGGAAAGGCGAAAAGAACCCCGGCGAGGGGAGUGAAAAAGAACCUGAAACCGUGUACGUACAAGCAGUGGGAGCACCCUUUAGGGUGUGACUGCGUACCUUUUGUAUAAUGGGUCAGCGACUUAUAUUCUGUAGCAAGGUUAACCGUAUAGGGGAGCCGCAGGGAAACCGAGUCUUAACUGGGCGUUAAGUUGCAGGGUAUAGACCCGAAACCCGGUGAUCUAGCCAUGGGCAGGUUGAAGGUUGGGUAACACUAACUGGAGGACCGAACCGACUAAUGUUGAAAAAUUAGCGGAUGACUUGUGGCUGGGGGUGAAAGGCCAAUCAAACCGGGAGAUAGCUGGUUCUCCCCGAAAGCUAUUUAGGUAGCGCCUCGUGAAUUCAUCUUCGGGGGUAGAGCACUGUUUCGGCUAGGGGGUCAUCCCGACUUACCAACCCGAUGCAAACUACGAAUACCGAAGAAUGUUAUCACGGGAGACACACGGCGGGUGCUAACGUCCGUCGUGAAGAGGGAAACAACCCAGACCGCCAGCUAAGGUCCCAAAGUCACAGUUAAGUGGGAAACGAUGUGGGAAGGCACAGACAGCCAGGAUGUUGGCUUAGAAGCAGCCAUCAUUUAAAGAAAGCGUAAUAGCUCACUGGUCGAGUCGGCCUGCGCGGAAGAUGUAACGGGGCUAAACUGUGCACCGAAGCUGCGGCAGCGACACUAUGUGUUGUUGGGUAGGGGAGCGUUCUGUAAGCCUGCGAAGGUGGCCUGUGAGGGUUGCUGGAGGUAUCAGAAGUGCGAAUGCUGACAUAAGUAACGAUAAUGCGGGUGAAAAGCCCGCACGCCGGAAGACCAAGGGUUCCUGUCCAACGUUAAUCGGGGCAGGGUGAGUCGACCCCUAAGGCGAGGCCGAAAGGCGUAGUCGAUGGGAAACAGGUUAAUAUUCCUGUACUUGGUGUUACUGCGAAGGGGGGACGGAGAAGGCUAUGUUAGCCGGGCGACGGUUGUCCCGGUUUAAGCAUGUAGGCGGAGGUUCCAGGUAAAUCCGGUACCUUAUUAACGCUGAGGUGUGAUGACGAGGCACUACGGUGCUGAAGUAACAAAUGCCCUGCUUCCAGGAAAAGCCUCUAAGCAUCAGGUAACAUUAAAUCGUACCCCAAACCGACACAGGUGGUCAGGUAGAGAAUACCAAGGCGCUUGAGAGAACUCGGGUGAAGGAACUAGGCAAAAUGGUGCCGUAACUUCGGGAGAAGGCACGCUGAUAUGUAGGUGAAGCCCCUGCGGGUGGAGCUGAAAUCAGUCGAAGAUACCAGCUGGCUGCAACUGUUUAUUAAAAACACAGCACUGUGCAAACACGAAAGUGGACGUAUACGGUGUGACGCCUGCCCGGUGCCGGAAGGUUAAUUGAUGGGGUUAUCCGUAAGGAGAAGCUCUUGAUCGAAGCCCCGGUAAACGGCGGCCGUAACUAUAACGGUCCUAAGGUAGCGAAAUUCCUUGUCGGGUAAGUUCCGACCUGCACGAAUGGCGUAAUGAUGGCCAGGCUGUCUCCACCCGAGACUCAGUGAAAUUGAACUCGCUGUGAAGAUGCAGUGUACCCGCGGCAAGACGGAAAGACCCCGUGAACCUUUACUAUAGCUUGACACUGAACAUUGAGCCUUGAUGUGUAGGAUAGGUGGGAGGCUUUGAAGCGUGGACGCCAGUCUGCGUGGAGCCAACCUUGAAAUACCACCCUUUAAUGUUUGAUGUUCUAACGUUGGCCCCUAAUCGGGGUUGCGGACAGUGUCUGGUGGGUAGUUUGACUGGGGCGGUCUCCUCCCAAAGAGUAACGGAGGAGCACGAAGGUUAGCUAAUCCUGGUCGGACAUCAGGAGGUUAGUGCAAUGGCAUAAGCUAGCUUGACUGCGAGCGUGACGGCGCGAGCAGGUGCGAAAGCAGGUCAUAGUGAUCCGGUGGUUCUGAAUGGAAGGGCCAUCGCUCAACGGAUAAAAGGUACUCCGGGGAUAACAGGCUGAUACCGCCCAAGAGUUCAUAUCGACGGCGGUGUUUGGCACCUCGAUGUCGGCUCAUCACAUCCUGGGGCUGAAGUAGGUCCCAAGGGUAUGGCUGUUCGCCAUUUAAAGUGGUACGCGAGCUGGGUUUAGAACGUCGUGAGACAGUUCGGUCCCUAUCUGCCGUGGGCGCUGGAGAAUUGAGGGGGGCUGCUCCUAGUACGAGAGGACCGGAGUGGACGCAUCACUGGUGUUCGGGUUGUCAUGCCAAUGGCAUUGCCCGGUAGCUAAAUGCGGAAGAGAUAAGUGCUGAAAGCAUCUAAGCACGAAACUUGCCCCGAGAUGAGUUCUCCCUGAGACUUUAAGUCUCCUGAAGGAACGUUAAAGACGAUGACGUUGAUAGGUCGGGUGUGUAAGCGUAGCGAUACGUUGAGCUAACCGAUACUAAUGAACCGUGAGGCUUAACCU
This 2904-nucleotide ribosomal RNA is filed under the name Klebsiella aerogenes. RNAcentral describes it as "23S ribosomal RNA". It matches the Rfam family "Bacterial large subunit ribosomal RNA". Lineage: Bacteria; Pseudomonadati; Pseudomonadota; Gammaproteobacteria; Enterobacterales; Enterobacteriaceae. The record is from RNAcentral.